AAGUCGUAACAAGGUUUCCGUAGGUGAACCUGCGGAAGGAUCAUUACACAUUCGGGGCGCUUCGGCGCUCCUUAUACACCCACCCUCUGCCUACGUGUACCUCUAUAGCUUCCUCGGCGGGCUCGCCCGCCGCCAGGAACCCACGAAACCCCCUGCAUUAUACGCGAAAACUUCUGAUAACAAACCUAAAUUAUCACAACUUUCAACAGUGGAUCUCUUGGUUCUGGCAUCGAUGAAGAACGCAGCGAAAUGCGAUAAGUAGUGUGAAUUGCAGAAUUCAGUGAAUCAUCGAAUCUUUGAACGCACAUUGCGGCCAUAGGUAUUCCUUUGGCCAUGCCUGUUCGAGCGUCAUUUACACCCUCAAGCCUAGCUUGGUGUUGGGCGUCUGUCCCGCCGUUCUCGCGCGCGGACUCGCCUCAAAGUCAUUGGCGGCGGUCGUGCCGGCCCCCUCGCGCAGCACAUUUGCGCUUCUCGGAGGCCCGGCGGAUCCGCGCUCCAGCAAGACCUUUCACGACUUGACCUCGGAUCAGGUAGGGAUACCCGCUGAACUUAAGCAUAUCAAUAAGCGGAGGAAAAGAAACCAACAGGGAUUGCCCUAGUAACGGCGAGUGAAGCGGCAACAGCUCAAAUUUGAAAUCUGGCCCCUUUGGGGUCCGAGUUGUAAUUUGCAGAGGGUGCUUUGGCGUUGGCGGCGGUCUAAGUUCCUUGGAACAGGACAUCGCAGAGGGUGAGAAUCCCGUAUGUGGUCGCAUGCCUUCGCCGUGUAAAGCCCCUUCGACGAGUCGAGUUGUUUGGGAAUGCAGCUCUAAAUGGGAGGUAAAUUUCUUCUAAAGCUAAAUACCGGCCAGAGACCGAUAGCGCACAAGUAGAGUGAUCGAAAGAUGAAAAGCACUUUGGAAAGAGAGUCAAACAGCACGUGAAAUUGUUGAAAGGGAAGCGCUUGCAGCCAGACUUGCCUGUAGUUGCUCACCCGGGCUCCUGCCCGGGGCACUCUUCUGCAGGCAGGCCAGCAUCAGUUUGGGCGGUCGGAUAAAGGGCUCUGACACGUACUUCCCCUCGGGGUUGACAUACAGGGGAGCCGCAAUGCGACCAGCCCGGACUGAGGUCCGCGCAUCUGCUAGGAUGCUGGCGUAAUGGCUGUAAGCGGCC
This 1149-nucleotide ribosomal RNA is filed under the name uncultured Periconia. RNAcentral describes it as "eukaryotic LSU rRNA". The stretch from base 517 to 1149 matches the Rfam family "Eukaryotic large subunit ribosomal RNA", at positions 1 to 649 of the family's 3401-position model. The record is from RNAcentral. Lineage: Eukaryota; Fungi; Ascomycota; Sordariomycetes; Microascales; Halosphaeriaceae.